Molecule: non-coding RNA, 48 nt
Filed under: Schistosoma curassoni
Lineage: Eukaryota; Metazoa; Platyhelminthes; Trematoda; Strigeidida; Schistosomatidae
Source: RNAcentral
AUCCAGCUGAUGAGUCCCAAAUAUGACGAAACGUGCAUCAGACUGGAU